RNAcentral lists this long non-coding RNA (1241 nucleotides) under Homo sapiens (human). RNAcentral's name for it is "HSALNT0362482". The record is from RNAcentral. Lineage: Eukaryota; Metazoa; Chordata; Mammalia; Primates; Hominidae.
CUCAUGAUUUUAUGGGGCAGAAAUUGGGAAGGGUACCACUGGGCAAUUUAUCUGAUUUACGUAACAACUAGGGCAGCUGGGGCUGGAGGAUCCAUUUUCAAAAUGGCUUCUUCACUUAGUGUUCUUUGGCCUCUUCCUUGGUGCUCUUUUGCCUCUACACUUGAUGUCGCAUCCUCCAGGGCUUCUUCACUUGCCUUUGGGUUUCUCACGACAUAGUGAUUUCAGGGUGAUUACAUUUCUAACAUAGUGGUCAGCUUCCAAAAGGCAGGAAACCAAACUUGUCAGGUGAAAUAAGAGCAAUACCUGGAACUGGAACUUCGCUUCUACCACAUAGUCUUGGUCAAAACAGUCGAAGGAUCCACUCAGAUUCAAGGAAGUGAAAAGACUCCACCUUCUGAUGACAGAGUGACAUUGUCACAAUAGAGAAGAAUAUGUAAAACCGGGAGACACAGUUGUGGCCACCUUUGGUAAACACAAUCUGCCACAUUAUUUAUUGCCAUUUUUAUUUUUCCUUUUGUGAAUUGCCCAGCCAUGGCUGUGUCCUUCCAUUUUUUUCUAUUGAUUUAUAAAACUAUAGUACAUACCUCAAAUCUUUUGCACGGAUAAAAAUUCUUUUUUCCAAGUUUUAAUUUAGAAUUCUUCUACCUCAAGUAGAAGAAUAUAAUAAGAGUGUGUUUCAUUUACUUUAUAUGCUUCCUUUUAAAAAUCUGUUAGGAUGAAACAAUUACAGAAUCCUAUGUGUCUAAAAAAUUAAUAUGAUAUUAUAUAUAUAAAGCCAUUUCUCAAAUAUUUUAAAAUUAACUCCAUUACAUUACAAAUUCAAAUUCUAUCAGAAAGUAAUUAUAGCAAAUGGUACACAAAAGCUAAAAAUCACUGUCUUCAUUUUAACCCUCUACUACAAUGGGCCCUUUUCUCCCCUUAUAAACUACAUAUAAUCAAUACCUUUGGUUAAUAAUUAAAAAAAAAAAAGACACAAGUUGGCUACUCUUUUACUACAACUUUAUUGAAAACAUGGCUCUCCCUACCAAAAAUGAAUUCUCCUUAAAAACAAUUUCAGGUCGGGUGCUCACGCCUGUGAUCCCAGCACAUUGGCAGGCUGAGGCAGGCGGAACGCCUGAGGUCUGAAGUUCGAGACCAGCCUGGCCAACAUAGCGAAACCCCGUAUCUACUAAAAAUACAAAAAUUAGCUAGGCAUGGUGGUGGGUGCCUGUAAUCCCCGCUACUCGGGAGGCUGAGGCAGG